This 253-nucleotide ribosomal RNA is filed under the name uncultured bacterium. Its description in RNAcentral is "partial 16S ribosomal RNA". It matches the Rfam family "Bacterial small subunit ribosomal RNA", at positions 524 to 776 of the family's 1533-position model. The record is from RNAcentral.
UACAGAGGGUGCAAGCGUUGUUCGGAAUUAUUGGGCGUAAAGGGAGUGUAGGCGGUCCAUUAAGUCUUCUGUGAAAUCUACGGGCUUAGCCUGUAACGUGCAGAGGAAACUGGUGGACUUGAGUGUCGGAGAGGAUAGGGGAAUACCCGGUGUAGAGGUGAAAUUCGUAGAGAUCGGGUGGAACACCAGUGGCGAAGGCGCCUAUCUGGCUGACAACUGACGCUCAGGCGCGAUAGCGUGGGGAUCAAACAGG